Molecule: ribosomal RNA, 468 nt
Filed under: uncultured bacterium
Lineage: Bacteria
Description: partial 16S ribosomal RNA
Rfam family: Bacterial small subunit ribosomal RNA
Source: RNAcentral
GACGAACGCUGGCGGCGUGCUUAACACAUGCAAGUCGAACGGAAAGGCCCUGCUUUUGUGGGGUGCUCGAGUGGCGAACGGGUGAGUAACACGUGAGUAACCUUCCCUUGACUUUGGGAUAACUUCAGGAAACUGGGGCUAAUACCGGAUAGGAGCUCCUGCUGCAUGGUGGGGGUUGGAAAGUUUCGGCGGUUGGGGAUGGACUCGCGGCUUAUCAGCUUGUUGGUGGGGUAGUGGCUUACCAAGGCUUUGACGGGUAGCCGGCCUGAGAGGGUGACCGGCCACAUUGGGACUGAGAUACGGACCAGACUCCUACGGGAGGCAGCAGUGGGGAAUAUUGCACAAUGGGCGGAAGCCUGAGGCAGAAACGCCGCGUGCGGGAUGACGGCCUUCGGGUUGUAAACCGCUUUCGCCUGUGACGAAGCGUGAGUGACGGUAAUGGGUAAAGAAGCACCGGCUAACUACGUG